CUUCAUGUCUCAAUGGCUUCUGAAUCCCAGUUGCCUGAGGCCCCCAGAGGAGAGUGUUGCUCCGGGGCUCGGAUCCUGCUUUUAGGGCUUCCCAUUGGGGCACCUGGUUGGCUGGGCUAGAGGGGCCCCAGGCCUGAUCCAGCAGCCAGGCUCUUCUGAACUACACCUGAAUGUAGCUCCCAGGGUUGCCCAGUUAACUGAACAUGAAUUAAGUUGGUUUCAGUUUCAGCUUUGAACAAUUCCAAGUUUGUCUUCAGGCUCACUCUCUUGAAGGUGUCUUCGGACCCUUGGAAAGGGUCUCCUAAACCCAGACGAGUCGGAGGGAGCAGCCAGACCUCCGGGGCUGAGCUGAAGUCUCUAGGUUUGCCUGGCUCCCCCCAGGUGACGGUGGAAUUGAAUCUCCAGAUUGUAAACCUGAAAGUAGGGAUACAAUUGACGUAAGCUGCUGAAGAGGAAAGUGCAAAUGCUCUAAAUAAAAGGAAGCCUCUCUCUCCAAAGAA
This is a long non-coding RNA of Podarcis raffonei (Aeolian wall lizard), 500 nucleotides long. RefSeq lists it as uncharacterized. The record is from RefSeq and is a predicted model, not a curated record. The transcript is spliced from 3 exons. Lineage: Eukaryota; Metazoa; Chordata; Lepidosauria; Squamata; Lacertidae.